UUACUAAUCAUCAUUCUUCACCGCGUUAGCACUUGUUUACAUUAAUUUUUAAAAAAUUCUACUCGUUCAUUUCAUAACAUCGCACCCAUAAUCUCAACCCAUAAUACAAGUUUUAGGUGCGCGCUCUUCUUAUAUUAGCUCUUUCAAUUACUUUUCCUCAACUUACACGUUCACGGUGCAACUUUUCUUUUUUUGCACUUUUCAAUUCAACGCAGGAGCAUACUUAAUAUUACUAGUUCACCGCGUUAAACUUCUCAAGUGAACCGUUUUACCUUCACAAUCUU
This 284-nucleotide long non-coding RNA is filed under the name Trifolium pratense (red clover). RNAcentral's name for it is "long non-coding RNA (TPRA_LNC009171)". The record is from RNAcentral. Lineage: Eukaryota; Viridiplantae; Streptophyta; Magnoliopsida; Fabales; Fabaceae.